UUGGGCUAAUAAAUUAGCGCCUUGGACAACUUGUUUGGUAUAUUUGACCCUUUCGGUUAAUAUUGUUGAUUUUCUGCUGUUAUAUAAAAACGCUCUGAAAUAUUGGAUAUUUAUUCAAUGGGGCGCGGUAAAGAGAAACAGCAAACGAAUUGUGUAGCCGGUCGAACGACAACUAAAAACAAAAAUUGCUUUGAAUUUUCGAAUUUUGCAUUAAUUUUAUUUUUCUCGCGACCGAGAGAGAGAAAAAACCGAGAGAAACAUGCACUUCAACUUGGACAAACACACGACCAACGGCUCCCGAUACAUUGGCCAAUUUAUUUCUCUCUGAUAAAUUGUUAAGCGCUGUCUGGAACUGGUAGCGCGUGCCAAAUAGCAAAAACUAAUAUGAGGGAACACGGCGUUUGGAGAAUUCCCCGAACCGAGCGGAGGAGCGACGAUGGAACUCCUCUCGGAUACGCACAGCAGCCGCACACGAGCACUCGAAAGAUACAAAGUUGAAAUUGCAGACAAAUUUAGUGUUUGCCUAGCAGAGGAGCGCCAUGAUAGUCGAGGAAUUUGUGUACAAAAUGGCAAAACGUGAUUCUGCUGAGUAUUUAUAAUUAAAAUUUU
This is a long non-coding RNA of Drosophila mauritiana, 609 nucleotides long. RefSeq lists it as uncharacterized. The transcript has 3 exons. Lineage: Eukaryota; Metazoa; Arthropoda; Insecta; Diptera; Drosophilidae. The record is from RefSeq and is a predicted model, not a curated record.